UACGGAGGAUCCGAGCGUUAUCCGGAUUUAUUGGGUUUAAAGGGAGCGUAGGUGGAUUGUUAAGUCAGUUGUGAAAGUUUGCGGCUCAACCGUAAAAUUGCAGUUGAAACUGGCAGUCUUGAGUACAGUAGAGGUGGGCGGAAUUCGUGGUGUAGCGGUGAAAUGCAUAGAUAUCACGCAGAACUCCGAUCGCGAAGGCAGCCUACCGGCGCGCGACCGACGCUCAUGCACGAAAGCGUGGGUAUCGAACAGG
This 253-nucleotide ribosomal RNA is filed under the name uncultured bacterium. Its description in RNAcentral is "partial 16S ribosomal RNA". It matches the Rfam family "Bacterial small subunit ribosomal RNA", at positions 524 to 776 of the family's 1533-position model. The record is from RNAcentral.